RNAcentral lists this unclassified non-coding RNA (330 nucleotides) under soil metagenome. RNAcentral describes it as "partial contains 5.8S ribosomal RNA, internal transcribed spacer 2, and large subunit ribosomal RNA". The stretch from base 1 to 120 matches the Rfam family "5.8S ribosomal RNA", at positions 35 to 154 of the family's 154-position model. The record is from RNAcentral.
GAUGAAGAACGCAGCGAAAUGCGAUAAGUAAUGUGAAUUGCAGAAUUCAGUGAAUCAUCGAAUCUUUGAACGCACAUUGCGCCCUCUGGUAUUCCGGGGGGCAUGCCUGUUCGAGCGUCAUUACAACCCUCAAGCUUUGCCUGGUAUUGGACAUUGCCAGUUUCUGGCAGGUCUUAAAAUCAGUGGCGGUGCCAUUUGGCUUCAAGCGUAGUAAUUCUUCUCGCUUUGGAGAUCCAAGUGGUUACUUGCCAAUAACCCCCAAUUUUUUCAGGUUGACCUCGGAUCAGGUAGGGAUACCCGCUGAACUUAAGCAUAUCAAUAAGCGGAGGA